Molecule: non-coding RNA, 160 nt
Filed under: uncultured Eubacterium sp.
Lineage: Bacteria; Bacillati; Bacillota; Clostridia; Eubacteriales; Eubacteriaceae
Source: RNAcentral
CCGGGUGCCGGAUUUUAUCUCCGGAGAAUAGGGAAACAGGUGAAAUUCCUGUGCGAACUCGUCACUGUGAACCGGUCGUAUGCUCCAUUGUGCCACUGCGGAAGCGGGAAGGCGGAGCGUACAUGACAGAAGACCGGAAGCCAGGAGACCUGCCGGGCUG